CCUACGGGCGGCUGCAGUGGGGAAUAUUGGGCAAUGGGCGCAAGCCUGACCCAGCGACGCCGCGUGAGGGAAGAAGGCCUUUGGGUCGUAAACCUCUGUUGUAUGGGAAGAAGGAAGUGACGGUACCAUACGAGGAAGUCCCGGCUAACUACGUGCCAGCAGCCGCGGUAAUACGUAGGGGACGAGCGUUGUCCGGAAUUACUGGGCGUAAAGGGCGCGCAGGCGGAUAUUUAAGUCAGCUGUAAAAGGCAUGAGCUCAACUCAUGUAUGCGGUUGAAACUGGGUAUCUAGAGUGCUGGAGAGGUAGGCGGAAUUCCCGGUGUAGCGGUGAAAUGCGUAGAUAUCGGGAAGAACACCAGUGGCGAAGGCGGCUUACUGGCCAGCAACUGACGCUGAGGCGCGAAAGCCAGGGGAGCGAACGGGCUUAGAUACCCCGGUAGUC
This 442-nucleotide ribosomal RNA is filed under the name uncultured Aminobacterium sp. RNAcentral's name for it is "bacterial SSU rRNA". It matches the Rfam family "Bacterial small subunit ribosomal RNA", at positions 338 to 795 of the family's 1533-position model. The record is from RNAcentral. Lineage: Bacteria; Thermotogati; Synergistota; Synergistia; Synergistales; Aminobacteriaceae.